Non-coding RNA from Cyanistes caeruleus (blue tit), 3249 nucleotides. The record is from RefSeq and is a predicted model, not a curated record. NCBI's taxonomy places the organism in Eukaryota, Metazoa, Chordata, Aves, Passeriformes, Paridae.
GAACUUACAAGUUACUGCUUAUCGGAUAGAAUUGGGAAGGCAGCAGGGCAAACAUUGAUAUAGCAGAAAUAUCAAAUGUUUCCUCAAUAGAUUUACUGCUUUGGCCUGUUUUCUUACACUGAAUACCUAAGGAUUUUGGACACUCUCAGGUGUGUCUAAUCCCUUCAUCCUUUCAACACCAGGUAUUUUAAACUGGUUUUCCCUGGGUAUCUUCUCUCUCCUUGGAAUUGUCUGCACUUGGUGGCUUCCAGAACUGGAUCCUUUACUACUGAUCCCAAGCACCACAUGAGAACAGACCCUCCAUGUGCUCCAAACCCAUACAGAAGAAAAGGACUUCAUUAAAUGUUGCCACCCCUGAGCUCUGGUGUUCCUCCUGAAAACGUAGUGGAAGACUAUCAUAAUUAUGUAAAACUUUUUACAAGGCUCGUAGUGUUACUACCACAACACUGCUUCUGACAUGAAUGAGAUCAGUUUCAUUCACAAGAGAGAUAAAUUUCAUUCAGGUAUUUGUUUCAUCCUACUGAUGACUUGUAGCUUCCAGUAUGUGAGUUUUUUAUCUUGGCUAAUGGGAAAAGGAUUUCUUGACUAUGAUAUUUUCCGAAGCCAAUUUACCCAAGAGGUGCAAAAAGCAAGCGGUUUGGUGGGUGAUUGCUAAUGUUCUGACAGUACAUGGUGUGUUAUGGGGGAACAUUUAUUAAACAAACAAUGUUAACUUGACCUAAGAAUGAAGUUUGAUCUCUAACAGGAAGCCCUAUCUAAUGAUUAAACCAUGGAAUUAGGCUGUUAGGACUAUAGCUAAUAAAUGCUUAUAACCGAGAUGCUGCAAUUCUUCAUUCUAGACACAUGCUGACCGCAACGAAAUCCAAAGACCAAAGGGAGGUGAUUUAAAGCCACUCACUGAGAAAAGAGCUGCUUCCAGCCAGCCCAAGGAAAGGAUAAAUACAAGGAAAGGCUGGACUUUGACCUCUUUUGAGGCUAGGUGCCUGAGGGAAGCAUAUGAGGUGAUUCACAGCAGGGCAAGAUUCACUGAACCAGAAGGGAGGUCUUAAGGAAGCUGACUCCACUUUUCUUAGCUCUGUGGUUUUUAGCUGAGAGCAGGCAGGCAACUUCUGCUUUUGGAGAGCUGUUUUGCCCUAGGCAGUCACAGAAGAGUUGGAAUGACACAGAGACCAGAGAUAAGUGGGCAUCCUCACCCCAACAGGUCUGUGAUUUAGAAAGUGAGGCACUGUCCAGGAGAGUGGGCUCUGUUGGGAGAAGAGGGAAAAAGGAGGGUCACUUCUUACCCCUUGACACAGCAGAUUGAUUUGGCUGAAUGAUUGAGACUACAUAAUGCCACUCUUUCUCUCAGCUACCUGUAACACAGGCCUUUAAACAUUAGAGAAGCCAUGAUCCUGCAGUGACCUAGUAAGAUUCUCAAAAACACUUAGCCCAAGAGGAAGGAAGCACUGUUAGAGCACAGUGUUUAAUGUGUUCUGAUCAUUCUUUAAAUAUUUUUCUGUAGCCAACAUACUAGCUCUUAACAUGAGCUACUAUGAUUACAGUAAAGCCAAGGAGAGAGCCUUGGAGUUUAACAAAACCAGCUUAAAAUAUGAAAAUUUGGUGAGUUUUUUUGCAGUGGGUUUAGAAAUAGCUGUCAGAAUGUCCUUACAAUUUGUGGCAUGGUGCUGCACAGUGAAUUUGGUGCCACCAUCAAAUUUUAAAUACUGAAGCCUAGAUAUUUGAAGCAAUUUAGGUAGUCAGUCCUAUGAAUAUAGAGGAGGCUUGGGAUGAGAGCCAGCUGCCUAAGAUCAGGUGGACAGAGACCUUCCAGGUGCCUGAUGGUACCCAAAUAAUCUGCAUUUGGCAGGCAGACAUGAUGUGGUCCUGACGGGACCUGCAGGAAUCCCAUGCUCUGCUGGAGAGGCCUUUGAGGAGGACACCCUAUGGGCCAUCCGGGGAACUCUGAACAUCCACGACAAGGCACUUGAACCACUUGGUCAGUUCUUGGGGCAAUGUUUGCUCUGCACACAGAGAUGCCCUGUGGGCUCUAUCUGCUCAGCCCUUGCUGAGGAGUUCCACACCCCACUGCAUUCUGUGGGGCAAGACCAUUACAGUGGUAACGUGGAUACAGACAACAUCCAUGUUGAAAUGAGCUGUUUUUCAAGGGAGGAAUAUGUUUUUUCUAUUCUGAUCUGUGACACCUAAGUGAAAAUUGAAUCCUAAAAUUGUAUUUUAUUAUGUGUUGGUAAAGCACAGCAAAGAUUUUCAAUGCUUUAUUAAAGGUUUUUAAUAUGCUUGAUUGCAUAUAUCCCAGCCAAAAUCUUCUCUAUCCUACAUAGGUAUUUAUCUCAGCCAGCAGAUUUUGUUUGCUCAGAUCCAAAUUAGAAAGUAUUUAAAGCAGAUAGCACAUCUCUAAAAAUAUACUGAAUUUACAAUGAAGCUUUAACAUUCUCUUGCUAAAUUUCACACAUCUGAUUUGAUUUCUGAAAAGAAAAGGUAAACACGGAAAUUUUCUUCACUAGUUCUCAUGCGCUGCUUGCAACAAUACAAGAAGAAUAUUUCCUAUUUUACUACCAUGUAUUUGAAGCAGAGAACAAAUGCCCAUUCCCUUUACAGGCAAGGAAGUCAAGUUUCCAACUGCAGUUAAUGCCGUGUUUUGUUCUAUUUCUUGGUAAUGUAAGCUCUUAUGCAAAUUGAAUGUCUGCUGUUCAGGCCCAGUUGACUACAACAGGGGAGGCUGGAACCAAAUUGCUUCUGUCUGUCUUAACAGGACUUUUUAAUAAAAUCUACUUUACAUAGCCACGAAUCUUGCCAGGUUAAAUUCUCACUUUAUCUGUGUUCACAUUCUUGUUAAUUUAUUUUAACUGCAGCAGAGAAGGUUAGGGUAAUGGGAAGAGCCGAAAGUGGAAUGUUACAGUGAAACCUGCUGCCUGUAUUUAGAUAAUUUUCUUUCAAAGUGAUAGACCAUUAAACCUCUAAAUUGUUUUAUUUGCUACUAAAAAAUGUCUUUGCUUAGUCUUUGAGUCCCAGGAACUAAUGAAAGAAGCCUUAGAAGAAAAUCAGCAGAUUUUGUAAAAGUAAAACUAAUAUUAUGUGCAGAGCUUGUACAAUACUAUAACUUUUGACUUUGUAGAAAAUGAGAUAGUGCAUCAAAAAAGACAGUUUUUAUAGAGAUUACAAAUGUUUAUUUCUCCCUUAACUUUAAAAAUAAUAGUUUAAAAAUUCAGGUUUAACAGAUUUUUCUAGUCACUACUUUAAAAACAUUUAUCU